Camelina sativa (false flax) is the source of this 634-nucleotide long non-coding RNA. RefSeq lists it as uncharacterized. Lineage: Eukaryota; Viridiplantae; Streptophyta; Magnoliopsida; Brassicales; Brassicaceae. The record is from RefSeq and is a predicted model, not a curated record.
UUGAUGAAUAGACAAUCAAACCGAAGGAUAUAUAUGAAGACAUCAUAGUAUCCAUAAGAUAAGUAGUGGUUUUCCUAAAACAUGUUUCAUUGUUUUAUUUGGAAGAAUCUAAACGUGUUGCUUAAUUUGAUUUACACAAAACUGCAGGAAAUCAAAUGAGAUGUACUUUCAUGCAGUCCAGUAUAUUACAAUAGAGUCUAUGUUUGGAAAGGAGAAACAGGAAGAUUGUAGCACAAAAGUUUUGGAGGAAGAUUGAUGUUGAGUUGGCGGUGUAUCAAUCUGCGGACGGCUUUGUAUUGGUAAGAUGUUUGGAGCCCAUAAAAGUCUAUGAAACCCAGAUAAAGCCCACCUUUUGUCAAGUAUAUCCGAUUUUGAAAUUUCGGGUUUGUUUUUUAAUAAAACCCGAUUGAACUAACACUAAAGUCACUUUUAACCUUCUCACUGAUGUUUUUAGUUGUUGGCGUCAGGGGUAUUUUUGUCCGUUGUGUAAGUUGUACUUCUCUUUUACUAUAAUAGGGAUGAGCUUUUAAAGUUAGAGUUUAGGCUAUAUUCCAUCUGGUUAAUUUCUUUUUUCUUUUUUCUUUUUUGUAAGUAUCAGUUGAUGAGCAAAUAUACUGCAACAGUGUGCCUGAAA